Non-coding RNA from Caerostris darwini, 84 nucleotides. Lineage: Eukaryota; Metazoa; Arthropoda; Arachnida; Araneae; Araneidae. The record is from the annotation of a GenBank genome assembly.
UUCUCGUUAGAUCACCGAAGUUAAGCAUCAUUGGGCGCGGUCAGUACUUGGUUGGGUGACCACCUGAGAACACUGCGUGCCGUU